RNAcentral lists this ribosomal RNA (513 nucleotides) under uncultured bacterium. RNAcentral describes it as "partial 16S ribosomal RNA". It matches the Rfam family "Bacterial small subunit ribosomal RNA", at positions 28 to 523 of the family's 1533-position model. The record is from RNAcentral.
GAUGAACGCUGGCGGCGUGCCUAAUACAUGCAAGUAGAACGCUGAAGCUUGGUGCUUGCACCGAGCGGAGGAGUUGCGAACGGGUGAGUAACGCGUAGGGAACCUGCCUCUUAGCGGGGGAUAACUACUGGAAACGAUAGCUAAUACCGCAUAAAAGUCGACAUUGCAUGAUUUUGACUUGAAAGGUGCAAUUGCAGCACUAAGAGAUGGACCUGCGUUGUAUUAGCUAGUUGGUGAGGUAACGGCUCACCAAGGCGACGAUACAUAGCCGACGUGAGAGGGUGAUCGGCCACACUGGGACUGAGACACGGCCCAGACUCCUACGGGAGGCAGCAGUAGGGAAUCUUCGGCAAUGGACGGAAGUCUGACCGAGCAACGCCGCGUGAGUGAAGAAGGUUUUCGGAUCGUAAAGCUCUGUUGUAAGAGAAGAACGAGUGUGAGAGUGGAAAGUUCACACUGUGACGGUAACUUACCAGAAAGGGACGGCUAACUACGUGCCAGCCGCCGCCGUAA